Molecule: long non-coding RNA, 827 nt
Organism: Vidua macroura (Pin-tailed whydah)
Lineage: Eukaryota; Metazoa; Chordata; Aves; Passeriformes; Viduidae
Exons: 3
Source: RefSeq, a predicted model, not a curated record
UUCCUCAACAGCAGCUGCAGGCAGCAACCCUACUGCUGGGACAGCCCCAGAACCCUCCCAGCAGCUGCAGGCUGUGACCCUAAUGAAAAGCAGCAGCACCACACAGCAACCCUAACAGCGAGAGCACACCGGAACGCUCCCGCUGGGACAAGGCAGCGACCCUCACACCAGGACAACGGCAGAACCCUCAGAGGACAACAGGACCCCCUGGAAAAAGUGUGGCGUGCCGGGUGACUUCUUCGUCCGCUAGCAAGUUGGGAAGGGCAGCGGACGUGGCGUUGGCCUGCUUACUGAGCCAACACUCGAGGUGAGAAAGCUCACCGAGGGCCUUUGCUGCGGCAUACCAUGGUAAAAAUAUGGAUACCGUGACUCUCUUCGUCUUUCCCCAAUUGUAAAUUUUUGAAUCACAAUUUUCGUCAAAUUGGUUAUAGGAUCUCUUUUUGCGAGCCAAUUUAUUUUCGUUUUUCCAAUUUAAAAUUUGGGUUUUGUUCGGUGUCAGUGUGGUAAGCUGCCCAAGGCUGCAGGGGCCUCCCUGGAUUUGGGAGGGAAUCCCUGCCCAUACCCUGUGGCCGCAGAUGAGAAAAACCCCCCUGCGGAGCACCCUGGGAACUGAGGAGGACCUAGAUACCAUGGUCGAGGUGUAAUUGCACCAAUUUGCUGCAUGGUAUCUCCGAUUGUGGGGAGAUACAUCGUGUCUUUUUACUUCUUGGGUACCAGCGGGGUGGAGUUUAGCCAUUUGAUCCCAGUCUUUCUGGGAGGGCUGGUACCUAAGCCUGACACAAUAUGUUGCCUGAGAGGAGCCCAAUAGGUCCAAUUCUCGGGGCUCC